AUAUAAAAAUAUUUACUAGCUGAAAUUCUAAAUCUACUGAUCUAUACUUAAUAUUUUAGAUAUUAUAUGACAUCUACAAAAAUUAUUAUUAAGAUAUAAUUAUAGGAUCUAGACUAGUUAUUUAUGUACAUAAAAUAUAUAAAUAAAAGAUAAAAUUUAUGCAGGCCUAGAUCCCAUAAAUUUAUAAUUGAUCCAGAUCUAUCAGUAAAAGUUACCUUGGAUGGGAAGUUUUACCCAAUCUAAUCUAUACAAGACAAUUUAUAAUCCAUGCCUCGCCUACACCCCAUACAUUAAAUUCUUAAUUAAACUCUUCCCUAGUGCUAUUAGAGCAUGGAAUGGGUUGCCUGAGCUAGCCAGGAAAACCAGUGACUUGGCUUAAUUUAAGUCAUUGGUUAAUAUGCAUGACUAAAUGCAUGACGCGUAGGACGUAAUCAUCUUCUUUUUUGAAGUAAAGUCUGUAUUAUAUAAGAUAAGAUAAGAUAAUAGUUCCCAUUCCAUGCCAUGCCCAGACCCAUGAGUUCAUGAAAUAAUAAAUGAUGUGGUGUCAAGUUGGAUCUAUCCCCUGAAAUUCAGCACUUUAAUAUAAAACUCACAUAUCUAGUUAAUUAUUUGCUAUGACACUCUGAUCAACUUGGACUUGUGUGAUACAUAUAUGUUUCUUAUCAGAUUUAAUGAAUGAAGUUUUGGUGCAUUUUAAGGCUACAAAAGUAUCAUCAGGUGCAUUCUAACCAUUGGUAUUUUUCCUGGCAACAUUUCUAUUCUAGUCUGUGAUAAAUUAUAAAUUAAAAAAAAUGUUUGUAAUGUUUCAGUUAUUAACAAGUAGAACCAUGCCAACCAGUUCUGAUGAUGUACCAGAAUGGCUCAAGGAUCAUACUUAUACUAUUUCUACUCUCUGGGCAGACAUUAAUAAUAUUGGCAUCCAUUCAAUAUUUAUUUUAUGUUUGGAAAUGCAAGAAAAAGGCAUGCAUUCCUGACAAGUCAAUGAUUGGUUGCACCUCUUAAAGAUAACUUUCUGUUAUGAGAAAAGAUGAGAUUCUUGGACUCCUGCAUAGCACCACCAGAAAGGAAAAUCCCAUCAUGUUGCAAAAUAAAAGUCUUGGACCAAUUUUAAUUUAAGAUAUAUAUAUUAUACUGUAAGCUCUAUACAUAUUUAUGUAUAUCCUGUCAUCCAGCCAACAGGUUUGGAUUUAGUAUUUCUUUAAAUCUGUUUGAUAUUGUACUUGAAAACUAUUAAUCUGAGCCCCAUUAAAACAAUAGGGAGUGCAGUGAAUGAGUGGUAAAGCACUUGGCUUCUGAACUGAGGGUUCCUGGGUUCAAUUAAGACGGAUUUUCAAUUUCAGAAUUCAAAAGGCUAGGGAUACAUGGCAAUAGUAAGGAAUAAGUAAAGGCAGUUUGGGGAUCCAUGGCUGAAUGGUUAAAUCAUGGGUUUGAAUCUCUGUGAAGACUCAGAUUUAAAUUUUUUAGAUUUUUGGGUGCCCCUGAGUCCACCUAACUCUAAUGGGUAGCUGACUUUCGUUUUGGUUGGUUGUUGUGCUGGCCACAUGAUGCACUGGCCAAAGAAUCAAAUGACCUUAACAUCAUCUGCCCUAUAGAUUGUGAGGUCUGAAAUGGGAUUUUUUUUCAAAAGGUGGUUGGUUGUUGUGCAGGGUACAUGACACCCUCGCUAACCAUGGGGCACAGAAACUGAUAAACUUUAUAUCAUCUGCCCCAUAGAUUGCAAGAUAUGUAAGGGAAAUUUUACUUUUUUAAAAUUAAAAUAAGAAUCUAACAAAAGUAAACAUAUAAAAUAUGGUGCAUUCUCCUUAAAACUAAAACCUGGUGCGAAGGUUUAAAAUGUUGGCAAAAAAAAAGCAACAUCAUAUAUUCUUAAUUCCCUUUGCAAAACUUACUGAGAAGAACAUGCAUGUUGUUCCCUUAUACAUUUCUUGACAGAGAAAAUCUUGUUUAUAUUAGAUUUGCAUUAAGCAAGUUAGGAAAAAAAUUAUAAUCAUUAUUUCAAAUGGUUGUAUCUAAAACCUUACGAAUCAUUUUUCAGUUUUAAGUAUAUUGAGAUGAAUGGAUAAUCAUGAAAUUAUUAAAUAAUUGCUGCUAUCAUUCCAUUGACUAAAGAACCAUAAUUAUUUUUUUUUUAAAUUAAUUUCAAAUUGAUUUUUUUCAAGCAUAGAGUUCACAUAGAUCUUGAGUGAAAUUUUUUUUUUAUUUGACUAAUGCUUCAAUUUUAUUGUAUCAUAUUAGUUUUUAAUUUUUAUUACCCAGAAUAUUUAAAAAAAUGAGUACACUAUUUUCAUGUAAUAAUGUAACUUGUUAUUCACACAAUGCUCAAAAUAUGCUAUAAUCUUUAGGCCAUACAGAUUUGUAUAAAUUAACUUGUUUAAAUACAUUGUAAAUGUAUAUUGUUUGGAUAAGAAUAAAGUUUUUCUGUAGACAAUUAUUGUUCAAGAUUUGUUGAUGCUCCUGCUUAAUCAAUUAUAUAUACAGGUCAUUAGUUUUAACACGUUGGAUAAUAAAUGACAGUACAAGUUAGUGAAUGAAAAUUUGUCAUUAUUUCAGCUGCUUUAGGCCUACAUCAAUGUGAGGUACCAGUACUUUGAUUGUGUCAUAACAAUUUAAAGCAACAUUUUGAAAUGAAUAGUCUGUAGAAUUGACAGUAAAUACAUUUAAGUGAUGGGCUGUGAUCUGCAUGAAUUGAGAGCUGAUCAUGUAUUGAAUUUGUGUUUUUGAUCUUUACUUCAAGUAAAUGUUAAUGAGCAAUUAAUUUUUAAUGAAUAAAUAAUUUAAAAAUAAAUACAAAAGAACCAUAAACAUCUACUUUAGUUUAAAAAAAUUUUUUUCAUCAGAACAGAAUUUCCAACUUUGCAUUCUUAAAAUAAAAUAUAAUUUAUUUAGAGUAAAGUCAGAACACAAAAUCAUAGUUUUAAAAUAUUAAGUAAAUUAAGCUAAGCUGUGAUCUCUUAUAAACAUUUGUAUAUAGACUAUACACAAUUUAAUUAUUAUUUUUCAUCAAAUUGCAGGAACUAGUACAUGUACUUAUGCCUAUUUGACAAUAAAAAACCUUAGUCAAUGAAAUAGUAAUACUAGUAAAUGAGAUAAAAGUAAACUAAAUAUCAUCAAUGCUAUUGAAGCCACACUUGUUUUUUUUAAAUCUUGUUUGGUGGACUGCAAUCAAAGUUGCUAUUAAUUUUACUGAUCGUCUUAGCUGAAAUGCCAGUGUCGUCUCUUUGAAACCUAAGCUUAUUUUCUUGGUAACUGGAAGUCCAGAUAUUUGGAGUUUCAUUUUAAGCACCUAUACUUUCCGAAAUGGCAUUCCGAUAGGCAAAACCAUUUGCCUAACAUGUCAUAUGCACGUUAAGAGGUACCACAGAAAUGCUUUAAAGACAAGCUUAGGCGCCAACUUACUUUAACUGACAUAGAAUAAGAGAGCACCUGGUUGCAUAAAGCUUCAGAACGAGACAGCUGGAGGUCACUUACAAAGGUGUGGUAUACACCAAUGAAAAUUAAUUGCAGAGGGUAGACGGCAAAAAAAACAACAACUGAUUCUGCCACAGGUGGACAAUGGUUAUGCCUGUGCUCAGUGUGGCAUAAUAUGUAGGUCACAGCUGGGGCUGAGUAGCCUCUGGAAACAUAGCAUUCCUCAUAAGUCUUAGGAAUCAAAGACAAGCCUAUCAUUUUUGUAGCAUAGUUUGUAGCUUCUGUAAAUGCAUGAAAUGCCGUCACAAAUGACACAAGUCCUCUGUGAGUUUGAUGGAUUAUAAACAUCUUACUUCUUUGCCUUAUAUUAAAUGGUCCUUCUCUCUGUUCCACCUGGUACUUGCGUUUAUCUAAAUAUCAUUGAUAUAUCGUAACAUGUCAUCAAAAUAAAAGCUAGAAUCUCUGCAACUCGUGUACAAGUCAGAAGUCAUCAAUAACACUUGCCAUUUAAAAAAUAACAAUUUAGAUUAGUCAAAUUAGUGACUGAUUAUUCGAUUCAUUUAGGCCUAUAAAUUUUUUAUUUGAAUAUAUAAUGAUCCUUUACACUUUGUGACUUUACUAGUAUACUUUGGAGUAGACUUGUUGAGCUAAAGUCGGAAGUACACAUUGAGUUUUACUGUGAUCUACUAGAUCUAGAUGUAGAUCUAUCCCUAUAUAUAUUAUAUUAUAUAGAAGUAGAGAGAGUAUCUCAUCAAUAGUAUCUGUCAUAUCGUUAUUAGUAGGCGGCUGCAGGUUUAUAGAUCUAUUCCAUGACAAAAACCCUGGCUAGAUUUAGAUCUACUGGUCUAGACAUCUAGAUCUAACUAGAAUUAAACUAGAAAACUGAAUUAGAGAAGUAGCUUUCUGGAUCUAGAACCAGAAUCUAUAUUAUUAAUAUUAAAUCUAGUUGCGUCGAACGCUUAAUUUUUGGUUGUUGUUUUUAAU
Molecule: long non-coding RNA, 4392 nt
Organism: Biomphalaria glabrata
Lineage: Eukaryota; Metazoa; Mollusca; Gastropoda; Planorbidae
Exons: 3
Source: RefSeq, a predicted model, not a curated record